RNAcentral lists this ribosomal RNA (406 nucleotides) under uncultured bacterium. Its description in RNAcentral is "partial 16S ribosomal RNA". It matches the Rfam family "Bacterial small subunit ribosomal RNA", at positions 29 to 526 of the family's 1533-position model. The record is from RNAcentral.
AUUGAACGCUGGCGGCAGGCCUAACACAUGCAAGUCGAACGAGUGGCGGACGGGUGAGUAAUGUCUGGGAAACUGCCUGAUGGAGGGGGAUAACUACUGGAAACGGUAGCUAAUACCGCAUACCAUCGGAUGUGCCCAGAUGGGGUGAGCUAGUAGGUGGGGUAAAGGCUCACCUAGGCGACGAUCCAUAGCUGGUCUGAGAGGAUGACCAGCCACACUGGAACUGAGAAACGGUCCAGACUCCUACGGGAGGCAGAAGUGGGGAACAGUGCACAAGGGGCGAAAGCCGUCUGCAGCCAGGCCGCGUGUAUGAAGAAGGCCUUCGGGUUGUAAAGUACGUUCAGCGGGGAGGCGGUACCCGAAGAAGAAGCACCGGCUAACUCCGUGCCAGCAGCCGCGGUAAUAC